UUCCUUAAAAAAGGCCCUGGCUGGUUUAAUUUCUAUCAAUUUUACUGAUGAAACUGCGUGGGCUCACUAUAUCAGUUAUGGUCCGCUCGAUCGUUUAAACCAUGGAUGACUGUGGUAAAUCUAGAGCUAAUGCAUGCAAAUCCGGGUAGCAAUACUCGGAGCAUUUAUUGGACAUGCCCGGGGGGGGGCGGAAACGCAACCUUGAAGGUGAAUCUAGAUAACUGUGCAUAUCGUAUGGUCUUGCCCCGGCGAUAGUUCGAUAAAUUUCUGCCCUAUCAACUAGCUGGUUGGGUAGGGGCCAAACGAGGUUGUGACGGGUAACGGGGAAUCACGGUUCGAUUCCCGAGAGGGAGCCGGAGAAACGGCUACCACUUCUAAGGAAGGAAGCUGGCACGCAAAUUACCCAAUCCACACAUUGGGAGGUAGUGACGAGAAAUGCCAAAGUGUGCCUAUGGUUCACUAUUGGAAUGAACGUGACAUAGUACCUUCCAUGAGUACCUACAGGAGGGCAAGUCUGGUGCCAGCAACCGCGGUAAUUCCAGCUCCAGUAGUGUAUAUCAAAAUUGUUGCGGUUCAAACGCUCGUAGUUGGAUUACAAAAGUUUGGCCCUAGUUAAUCAAUAGCUUGAACAGUGUCCGGCUUUUUUAUCGGAUGAACCACUCGUGCAUUUUGACUUGUGCGGGUGACCACUCGCGGAGCGUGCCUUGAAUCAAGCACAGUGCUCAAAGCAAGCGUAACGCUAGAAUGUUUAAGCGUGGAACGAAUAACUCUGACUACAUGGUUCAGUUGUUGGUUAUCKGAACCGGGUCCUGAUUAAAUGAAACAAUAUGCAGUGACGAUUAGCUAUUCGACGUCGAUGAGGGGAAAUUCUUAUACCCAGCCCAAAGACUCAGCUAAUGCGAAAAGCAUUCGCCCUAAGAAAGUUUUCUUUUAUCAAGAAAAAAAAGUUAGAGGAUAGAAGACGAUCAGAUCCCGUAGUAUUUUUACUCAGCUAAUUAACCCACCAAGGAAUCAGUCAUGAGGUGAUCCAGGUUGGUUCCUCUAGGAAAAUGCGAGAGUUCGGGUUCCGGGGGGAGUGCGGUGGCAAGGCUGAAAAUUAAAGGAAUAGACGGAAGGGCACCACCAGGAGUGGAGCGUGCGGCUUAAUUUGACUCAACACGGGGCAACUCACCAGGUCCAGACAUUGAAAGGAUAGACAGACUGAUAGAUCAUUCGAGAUCCAAUGAUUGGUGGUGCAUGGCCGUUCUUAGUUGGUGGAGCGAUCUUCAGGUCUAUUCCGGUAACGAGCGAGACCACGAUCUCUAUUUUUUACGGUUACUUUGUUGUAACUGGUCAUAGAGAGACAACCGGAGUACAAACCGGGGGAAGCGUGGCAAUAACAGGUCUGUGAUGCCCUUCGAUGUUCUGGGCCGCACGCGCGCUACAAUGGUAGUGACAACAAGUUUCUGCCUCGAGAGGGGUGGAAAAUCUUGACAAUCACUGUCGUGAUUGGGAUUGAGCCUGGUAAUAAUUGCUCAUGAAAGAGGAAUUCCUUGUAAGCAUGAGUCACAAACUCGUGUUGAAUACGUUUCUGCCCUUUGUACACACCGCCCGUCGCUACUACCGAUUGAAUGGUAUUCCGAGAUAUCGGGAUUGGGUGCCGCAAGGCAUCUGAGAGAUAUAUCAAGAAAACAUAUGAUU
Molecule: ribosomal RNA, 1680 nt
Filed under: Ellipsomyxa tucujuensis
Lineage: Eukaryota; Metazoa; Cnidaria; Myxozoa; Bivalvulida; Ceratomyxidae
Description: SSU rRNA
Source: RNAcentral